RNAcentral lists this ribosomal RNA (430 nucleotides) under Stenotrophomonas sp. T1. RNAcentral describes it as "bacterial SSU rRNA". It matches the Rfam family "Bacterial small subunit ribosomal RNA", at positions 62 to 481 of the family's 1533-position model. Lineage: Bacteria; Pseudomonadati; Pseudomonadota; Gammaproteobacteria; Lysobacterales; Lysobacteraceae. The record is from RNAcentral.
UCGAACGGCAGCACAGGAUCGCUUGCUCUCUGGGUGGCGAGUGGCGGACGGGUGAGGAAUACAUCGGAAUCUACUCUGUCGUGGGGGAUAACGUAGGGAAACUUACGCUAAUACCGCAUACGACCUACGGGUGAAAGCAGGGGACCUUCGGGCCUUGCGCGAUUGAAUGAGCCGAUGUCGGAUUAGCUAGUUGGCGGGGUAAAGGCCCACCAAGGCGACGAUCCGUAGCUGGUCUGAGAGGAUGAUCAGCCACACUGGAACUGAGACACGGUCCAGACUCCUACGGGAGGCAGCAGUGGGGAAUAUUGGACAAUGGGCGCAAGCCUGAUCCAGCCAUACCGCGUGGGUGAAGAAGGCCUUCGGGUUGUAAAGCCCUUUUGUUGGGAAAGAAAUCCAGCUGGCUAAUACCCGGUUGGGAUGACGGUACCCA